RNAcentral lists this long non-coding RNA (6489 nucleotides) under Homo sapiens (human). The record is from RNAcentral. Lineage: Eukaryota; Metazoa; Chordata; Mammalia; Primates; Hominidae.
GGAAAUGAUGUUUCCAACCAUUUCCUUCACUUCACCUCUGUAUCAUUAAUUUUUUUUUUUUAAUUCCACAAUUUUCCACCUCCUGCCAUUUCUCUUGGUCUUGUUCCUCUACCUUCUCUGUGAAGCCCUUGUCAAGGCCAUCUUGGACCCACAACUAGAGUGGGAAGCCAAGGAUGAAGGGGCAGCAAAAGGCCCUGGAGCAAAUGUUCAAGCACAGAGCCAUGCACACUAGGCCACGAACUUCCCGUCACACAUGCUCUGGAGGAAGAGGAAAUGCUUGACGCAUCAUCGCUCAGAUUGCCUUGGUGGAAACUGCUUUCGAUGGUUCACGUCUAGCAGUGUAACUCGAUGACUCACAAAACAGCCUUUAUUCAUUGACGUGUUCUUCAGAGGACUCCAUGAAAUGACUCACACCUCUAUUUACUAGGUUUUAUUGGGAAUGUGAGGUGAAAUCUUUUCCCCUGGGAACAGGAAGUUUUCAGUGUUUCUUAGAAGAGGACGUGGGGACCUGAUAGCAACACACAUGUUGUUGAUGGGCGGACUUUCUCUAUCAGGGAGGCUCAGCUGGAGCAACAGAGCAGCAUUUCUGGAGGAGGGCAUAUCAGUUUUGACACCUGUUUUCAGAAUCAUCCACAGAAGGUAAGGCUGGACGAAAUGUUUCCUGUUGUGAAUAUUUAGAAGAGAGUCUGAGAAUCAGAAAGUAUUUUACGGAGCAUUGAUGAAAGGUUCAACAACUGUGUCUUGUGACGGCAGUCAUUGAUUUUUUUCCUAUUGGGAAUAUGAGGGUAUCCACAGUCAACGGGAAACGAGGGGAGGCCCAGUCAACCCCAGCACCCCAAGGAUGAUUGCUUGCUCACGGGAACUGAGCAGACUAUGAACUCAAUAGCCAUAGACUUUGGACUCCCAGACAGGUGUGACAAGCAACAGCCGGGCAGAUGAGGGACUUUACACCAGAGGCCAGCAGAUACCACAAAGCAGAUGCCUUCAUGCCUGCAGGAGCCCAGGGGCCCUCUCUUCCUCAACGGCCACAGAACGAAACAGCCACACUCCCCAUCCCCCAACAUCAGAUGCCAUCUUAGGGAAAGAAGCCAGAGGGAGGCAAGGCCAUCUGAGAGAGUGAGCGAUUAUACAAGAGAAGCAAUUAGAAUCAUCAAGUGAUUACACGAGUAAAAAUCAUCAAGUGAUUUACACAAGUGAUUAUAAAAGAGAAAUAAUUGAGGCCGGGCAUGGGGGCUCAUGCCUGUGAUCCCAGCACUUUGGGAGGCCGAGGUGGGCAGAUCACCUGAGGUCAGGAGUUUGAGACCAGCCUGAUCAACAUGGUGAAACCUUGUGUCUACUAAAAAUACAAAAUUAGCCUGGUGCAGUGCUGCAUGCCUGUAAUCCCAGCUACUUGAAAGGCUGAGGCAGGAGAAUCGCUUGAACCCAGGAGGCAGAGGUUGCGGUGAGCUGAGAUUGCUCCAUUGCACUCCAACCUGGGCAACAGGAGCAAAACUCCGUCUCAAAAAAAAUAAAUACAUAAAAAUAAAAUAAAAGAGAAAUAAUUUAAAUUUUGGAGUGGGGUAAGCUUUAACCUGGAUGAGCCAUUUCAUGAAAAUGUUCCCAGUAGCCAAUGGAUGGGGACAGAGAAAAAUAAAAAUGAUCCAGUUAUUUAUAGACCAAAUUAAAUCAUGGUGGGUUAAUCUAUAUGUCAAAUGGUACCUGCAUGAAUUGGCAACCCUGCUGCACAAUUGGUUACGUAACACUUGUUACACAUCAGAUCCUAUCCCAGAAGUGGGGGACAAAUUCCAGUUUAAGACAGAGGCAGCUGGGAAACAAUUACUAUAGCACUCUUGGUCAGCUCUGUGUUGGGGGAAUGCCUCAGAAGCCCAGGGGCCCAGAAGAAGGUUAUUUAAUUCAGAAUACAGGCUCAGAGAAGGCUUCCUGGGAGUUGGGACCUGAGCUGAAUUUGGAAGGACAAGCAGGUGUUACCUAUUUGGAAGGACAAGCAGGUGUUACCUAGAACUUAGAUUCUAAAUGAACAAACAGAGGAAGCACUUCCAAGGCCAGAACAGCAGUGGGGAGGCACAGAGGUGAGAAGCCCGUGAUGAGGUCAGGGGAGGGAGAGGAGCCUACACACCUGGGUGUGCAGAAGAACCAAGAGAUGAGGCCAGAGGGAUAAGCGGGGGUCAAUCAGGAAAAGACUUGGGAGGUGAGCUAAGAUGUUUGAAUUUUGUUUUGAAGCUUUGAAGAAUUAUUGAAAGUAGUGGGCACCUGUGAUCCCAGCUACUCAGGAGGCUGAGGCAGAAGAAUCAUUUAAGCCCAGGAGGCAGAGGUUACAGUGAGCCAAGAUUGUGCCACUGCACUCCAGCCUGGGCAACAGAGGGAGGCUCUGUCUCAAAAAAAUAAAUAAUUAUCAAAGAUUCUAACUAGGGGUAGCACAGAAGCAGAUUCUCAUGGGAAAAAGGUAGUUAAAGUGGGAGGGUGGAGGAUGAGUGAAGGGGGGCAGGGGAAGGGGGACCAGUGAGGCAACGAUGGUAGAAAUGAUGACAAACCGUGAAGGUCUGAACCCAGAUGGUGGUGUUGCAAGUAAGAAGCAGGAUUUGGGUUGAAGACAUAGCUGAGAGACAGAAUCUACAGGAUCUGAUAACUAAUCAGAUGUGGGAGGUGAAUGAGAGGGGCAGAGGGGCUUCCAGAGUUCUGGCUGGAUGGUAGCGCCAGGGCAAGUGCCUUGCUCCAAGGGGAAUACCAGGGCCACAGUGUUCGGGGGCAAAAAGGAGGCAUUGGGCUUGGGGUGCGAUUGAUGAUGUGGUACCUGACAGCCAGUAAUUCAGAAUGUCUCCAAAAAGUAAAAUGAAAACUUGGACUUCUCCUUGCACUUGUCACUUGGGCAGUUAUUGGAGACCUUCAUAAGAGCAGGUUCAGUGGGGUGACAGGGAUAAAAGCCAAUUUGCAGUGAAUGAGAAAGUGAAGUUACUCUCUUCUCCUGAUGCCUUAUUCUUCCUGGGGGGCCGCUGUCUUGCUGAAGGGCCCCCUUGGAAACCAGAGGGCAUCACGGACUCCUCCCUCUUUCCACAUGAUGUACUUGGCCAGUUUUUGAGUUCUGUUGAUCCCUUUCCCUUAGGAUCUCUUGAUGCCAUUCCCUGUUCUCCACACUCCCUCCCGCCUUAAUCCAGUCUUUCCAAGAUUUGCUGCCUAACUUUAAACAAAACUGAGGAAUAUUUUUUAAAAACACAAAUCAGGAUGAAGUUUCACUUAUAAAGUUCUUCAUGACCAAGUCCCCAAGAUUCCUCUCCACCCCCCAAUGCCUCCCAUUCUAGCUCUGCUCCCCAAAGCCCUCUGCUCUGCCUGGACUGAGACCCCAGGGAUCCCCCCUCCCUUCAGCUCUCAGCUCCCUGUGCUCAUCGCUAGCAUGGUACCCCAUGGUCAGCACUGCCACCUGUUCGUCCUUGCUCUCCCCACCCCACCGCCAGCUCUUUGAAGAUGGGGACCCCACUGUGUUCAUCUUUUGUGUCCACAGCCGCCAGUAAAGUAGCCAGCAUGGAUGUACAAACUCAAUACGUGUAUGCUGAAUAAAGAAAUGAACAAGUUGUCAGUUCUCCAAGAGACUUGAUUAUGAGGGGGUUUAUGAUUCAAAGUGAUGUCUUUUUUUUUUUUUAAGAUGGGAGAAACUGAGGUUUAGAUGCUGAGAGGAGUGAGCCAGCAGAGACAGAGAGAGGUUGAAAUACAGGAGAGAGGAGGAUUACGUGGAGCCAUGCCCCUGAGCAUGCGGGGUGGGAUGAGAAGGGGGUGGGAGCUGGAAGGCACAGGAAGCAGGGACCUGGGGGUGGGGAGAUGCCAAUUCCAUGGGGCAAAGGUGGGCUUAGAAGCAGAAAUGUUCCCAUGUGCUUGAAAACGAAGUUGAGGGCUUUUUCUCCUGAUGGCCUCUAUCUGCUCAGCAAUGAGGAGGCAAAGUGUGAGAGUGAAUGGGAUUGGGCUAGGGCAGAGGGUUAGCAGAAAAGUGAAAGUUUGGAAGAACCACUAGGCGGGAUGAGUUGGUCAUGCUGUGGUGACAACGCCAAAUCUCAGUGACAUGACACACGACCCACACUCAUUCUCACUCUACUUAGAAGUCCAGUGCAGCUGGACAUCAAUGAUCUGAUUCUUAGAAUUUCUCAAGGGCCCAGGCUGGCUUCAUCAUUUUUGGGAAAAUGCAGUGCCCCACCUUGCGGCUGGGAUGCCAGUCUCCCUUCCCGCAGGUUCUGCUGCACCCACCCAUAGCCGAUGGCCGGCCUCCGAGGGGCUGCCAUCUCCACACUGGAAUGCACUUGGUACCCAGAUUGGGGUGGGCAUAAGGCCCUGUUUUAGCUUCCCACUGAGUGUGUCGGGGGGUUGACACCUGCUGCCUUGCUCUGCCCUGAGAUGCUGCAAGCCGUAUGCCCAACUGCUGUGGCUUGAAUGUUUUUGUCCCCUUCAAAAUUCUUGUGUUGAAAACUUAAUCCCCAAUGCAACAGUGUGGGAGGUGAGGCCUUUUGGGAGGUGCUUUGGUCACUGGGGCUCUGCCCUCAUGAGUGGAAUCUUGCUUGCCAUUGCAAAAAGGGCUUGUGAGAGUGGGUUCACUCUCUCUUGCCCUUUCGUCUUCUGCCUUCUGCCACAUGUGGAUCAAGUAAGAAGUCCUGCACCAGAUGCCAGCACCUUGGAUCCCGGACUUCCCAGUCUCCAGGACCGUGAGAUAGUCAAUUUCUGUUCUUUAUAAAUGACCCUGUCUCAGGUAUUCUGUUAUGGCAGCACCCAACAGACUAAGACACCAGCCUGCCACAUGUGUCCUCCUGGGCCCCCACCAGGGAUGGAGAGUGACGGUGGAACGUGGUCUCCUCACUUCGUGUGACCCAGCUACUUCCCUGGGUAAAGGGCAGCAUCUGUAGUAGGGUGGGGGCAGGGAGGGGAAAUUGGGCAGGGCCAAGGCACCGGGAGAAGAACAGAUGUCUGAGAAAACAUCCUGGGAGUCAACAGGAGGCAGGAGCACGCAUGCGUGAGGCUCCACAUUCCUGGCAGGCUCCAUUGUCUCGUUACACUUCACUUAGGGAGCACAAGUUCAAAGGUAAAAUUCUGAAGAAUUUCAAGAGAGCAAUUAUAGAGUGUUAAACCCUAACCUUCUGGGUGCUUGUCCUGUGCAACUGCACUGGCCCCGCAUGCCCGUGGUACAGGCCCUGCCUCUUCCCUCCUUCCCCUCCUUAACAUCCUGCCUUCCCUCCUUCCUCUCCUUAACAUCUUGCAGUGGCUCACAUUCUUUUUCUUUUCCUCUUUUUUUUUUUUUUUUUUGCAAAAAAAUCCAACUGCUUUAACCUGGCUUUCAGUUUUAGGCCUCCUAACAUACUGUUCUCACUGCCUGAACAUGUUUACGCCCUCCUCAAAUGUCCCUUGGCCUAAGUCUUAUUCAUCAUUGAGAUCUCGAUUUCAGCACCACUUUCUCCAGGAAACAUUCCGAGACUCUUUUGUUUAAAUGCCUCACUUAUUUGGUCCCACAGCACAAAGAUCAAAUGCAGAAGGAACUGCACGUGGAAAGGCCAGCCACAUACAUCACAAAAAGAGGACUGAAGUCAGCACACAGCUUGAAAGCCGGACUACAGGCCUUUCUUCAAGAAUGGCUGGAGUGACCCUGGGGACUUGCUGCAAGAAGCAAGAGGAUUGGGCAAAGGUCAAGAGGCCAUUUGUCAAACAGCACAAGACAUGUAACAGGAUAUGCACAGUGAGACAUGGCGGGGGAGAGCCCCCACGGAGCCCAGGGGAUGUAUGACAUCAUAGUCACAGUCCUACAUCUUCCUCUGUUUCCCCAGCUACCCUGGCUAUCUCUGCAGACAGGAAGAGAGCUGCCAAGUAGGGCUGGAAAGAGACACUCGGCAGGUAGAUCUUGCCGUAACAAGGAGAAGAAACUCAUGGAUUUCACCUAAGACCAGAGAAGGGAACAUUCCCAAGAGACUUGGAGGUUCCAUCUCUCAAGCAACCUGAAAUUAGCAGGGAUUUCUCCUGCGGCUUUGCCAUGAUGUGGGGAAAAGGGAAGUGGUUUUGACGCAAGGGACAGAGGGAGUGUUGGCGGUGGCAGGGGGAGCAGGGGCAGCAGCUCACUUACGGGUUAAAACCACCCUGGAGAGGCCCAGCUCUCUGAAGUUCGACAUCAGAAUAUACAUUCGAGUAAGGGUGGUCAGUUAUUCAAUUUUUUGAGACUCACUUUCCUUGUCUUUAUACAUGAGGUUUAACAAAAUUGUCAAGAAGGUGACAGAAAACAGCAGAGGAAAAAGCUGCAGUAUAGUGGAUACUCCAUAAAUAUUGGUUCCCUUGGCUAUAUUCGUCCCCUCUUUUUCCCAAGUGUAGAGCAACAUGGAUUAAAAUUUAUUUUGUAUUUCUAGAUCUCCAGCAAAUGUAUUUAGAACUGUUCUAUUAAAUUUUCCUGGAAAAUAAAGCAUCCCUUGCAUUGAGGCUAUCUAGGUAAUCUAUUUAACAGCAUCUAAGUCUAGAAAUUCAGAAACGUCUAUA